Long non-coding RNA from Xenia sp. Carnegie-2017, 346 nucleotides. RefSeq lists it as uncharacterized. NCBI's taxonomy places the organism in Eukaryota, Metazoa, Cnidaria, Anthozoa, Malacalcyonacea, Xeniidae. The transcript has 3 exons. The record is from RefSeq and is a predicted model, not a curated record.
GACGAGGCAGCCAGCCUUUUACAAACCUGCCGUACCAAUGAUAGUUGAAAAGACUAGUGAAAUUAAUUGUUGGUGAUAAUGCAAGAAAGCUAUGACUGAAGUGAACACAAAGAAGUUUUGACUUGGAAGCUUUAUGCCAAUAAACCUUACACAGUUAACUAUUAUUUAUUUCAAUUAUUGAACAUCCUCACUUACAUGCAAACUAACUGAUAUAAUCAUAAAGGAAGACGAGGCAGCCAGCCUUUUACAAGUACGAUAGCUCAAAAAUUAAAGAUUUAUAAAUUAGGAAGUUAAGUAAAUCGAUAAACAGAGCUUCUCUAAAAUUAUCGGCGUUCCAACUUUGAAA